Molecule: ribosomal RNA, 775 nt
Filed under: uncultured Neocallimastigales
Lineage: Eukaryota; Fungi; Neocallimastigomycota; Neocallimastigomycetes; Neocallimastigales
Description: partial large subunit ribosomal RNA
Rfam family: Eukaryotic large subunit ribosomal RNA
Source: RNAcentral
UCAGACGAUGCGUCAUGCAUAUCAAUAAGCGGAGGAAAAGAAACUAACAAGGAUUCCCUUAGUAACGGCGAGUGAAGCGGGAAGAGCUCAAAUUUGAAAUCUUCAAGGUUUUACCUUGACGAAUUGUAGUUUAAAGAAGUGUUUUCUGUUGAAGUUUUGGUAAAAGUCCUUUGGAAUAGGACAUCAUAGAGGGUGAGAAUCCCGUAUUUGACCAUUAUUUUCAGCUGUGUGAUACACUUUCAAAGAGUCGGAUUGUUUGGGAAUGCAGUCCAAAAUGGGUGGUAAAUUUCAUCUAAAGCUAAAUAUUGGCGAGAGACCGAUAGCGAACAAGUACCGUGAGGGAAAGAUGAAAAGAACUUUGAAAAGAGAGUUAAACAGUACGUGAAAUUGUCAAAAGGGAAGCGUUUGACACCAGUGUUGUUUUCUCGAAAAUCAAUUAAAAAGAGUUGGAUUUUGUGUUGUAUUGACCUUAACAGCUUGCUUCACUCUUUUCCUGCUUUUUUUAAUGCACUUUUCGUUUAACAAGUCAACAUCAGUUUCUUUUGUUGCUAAAAGGGUCAUUGGAAGGUGGCUUUCUCUUCGGAGAAAGUGUUUAUAGCCUUUGAUCUCUGCAAUCGGAGAGACUGAGGUCUGCAGCGUAGAUCCUUCGGGGUUAGAUACAUUUGUGCUAAGCUACAGCUUUUCAUAGACAACUUGUUGACUAUGUUUAGUCUUGUAACUUACCCGCUUAUGCUAUUUUACCUACGCUUAGGAUGUUGAUAUGCAUGACUGAUAU